Molecule: long non-coding RNA, 1423 nt
Organism: Mus musculus (house mouse)
Lineage: Eukaryota; Metazoa; Chordata; Mammalia; Rodentia; Muridae
Product: predicted gene, 38752
Exons: 4
Source: RefSeq, a predicted model, not a curated record
CUAUCCGUGCUUCGUAGCAGACUGAUUAGAAGAUAGACUGUGGGAACUCCUUUUAUAGCCAAAUUCUGCAGCCAAACCCCGCAGCCAAAAAAAAUCAGAAUCCGAACGUGCAUCUUGAAAGCCAGGAUCCAUUCAGGGUAUUCCAAGAAUAGCUCUCAAGUUGCUGGAAAGUAGCACUCCCUACGCUGGCCUCCAAGUGGAUUUUAAAGCCGAGAGGAAGGGUUGAGUCAGCCUUGCCCGACCCGAUCAAGGUCUGCCGCAUGCAGGCGCCGCUCUAGGUACCGGGAACCUGGCAGUAAACGAAACGGAUGAAAGAUACAGGAACACCCAGGCACCGGUGGUACUCACACUAUGGCUCUCAGCUGGACCUCUGAGCCUCCAUUACAGCGCUCCCCUGCAUUGGCUCAGGCAUUGACUAGUGCCUGGCCUGCUGGAAGCUUUGUGUGCGGAAGUGCCUCCCUGCUGAUGGGCUCCUCAAGGUCCCUGGCACCUGUUUAGAUGCACACCGCCAACACCCCUGGAACUUAUUGUUCUGUACACGGGUUCUCAGAGGCUCACACAGGGUGGGGGUCAGAAGAUGUGUCCAGGAAAACGUGGGUCACACAAGAUUAACCAUAUGUAGUGGCUAUUCCUGGUUGUCAACUUGACUAUAUUUGGAAUGAACUACAAUCCAGAAUUGGAAGGCUCACCAGUGACCCUUAUCUGGAGGCUUGGAGAUAGAAGUUUCUGAUCUGGAUCUUGGUAUGGAGAUCUUGAGCCAUAGUGGCUAUGGAUUCCAGAAGAUUAAAUCUCCGAGUUCAAGGUCAUCUGGGAUUAAAGGUGUGGUGGAACGCACCUUUAAUCUGGGCUACACCUUCUGCUGGAGACAAUAUAAAGACAUUAGAAGAAGGGAGUCUUGCUCUUGCUCCUUCGCCUGCUUGCUGUGUGAGACUGAGUAACUGCUAGAUCCUUGGACUUCCAUUCAUAGCUACGACUGAACCAUUGUUGGGAAUUGGGCUGCGGACUAUGCUCAUCACCCGUUUGCUGGAGGAAACAUGGUGCCUCGGUCUCCACAUACCUACUGACAUGCCGUCCUGCCAUCUAUCAGGGAGGCUUGAAGACCCCGUACAAAAGGGAGCAUCUACCUAGUUUGUGUAGCUCCCACAGUACCUCCUGAGACUAAGGGCAAGUGUUUGAUAAGUGUCUACUGACCAUGGGGGAAAAUGGUGUAGUUCUGUAAUUCGUGAGGGCACAGAUGAAACCCUAUGGCAUAAUGUGGAGAGACAUAGGGCAUCAUAGAAAAACAAGCCCUUUCAUUCACACGUGCAAUAAAGCAAAACUGAUCUCAUAGAAGUUGGUGUCAGAGCAAUAGAUACAGCAAAAUUUAAAAAGCUACAAGAGGGGCUGGAGAGAUGGCUCCGUGGCUAAGAGCACUGGCUGCUCU